Molecule: ribosomal RNA, 253 nt
Filed under: uncultured bacterium
Lineage: Bacteria
Description: partial 16S ribosomal RNA
Rfam family: Bacterial small subunit ribosomal RNA
Source: RNAcentral
UACAGAGGUCCCAAGCGUUGUUCGGAUUCAUUGGGCGUAAAGGGUGCGUAGGCGGCGCGGUAAGUCGGGUGUGAAAUCUCGGAGCUUAACUCCGAAACUGCAUUCGAUACUGCCGUGCUUGAGGACUGGAGAGGAGACUGGAAUUUACGGUGUAGCGGUGGAAUGCGUAGAUAUCGUAAGGAAGACCAGUGGCGAAGGCGGGUCUCUGGACAGUUCCUGACGCUGAGGCACGAAGGCCAGGGGAGCAAACGGG